CCAGACCCUGGAUCCAUAUCUCCCACUCAAAUCUGAGUGUGUCAUUCCACUCCAUGAGCCUCUUAAUCUGGUAGUGCCAUUGGUUUUGAACCCACCAGAGAUCCACUCUUCCCCUAACACACUAUAGUGUUUUGAACCCACCAGAGAACCACUCUUCCCCUCAAAACACUAUAGUGUUCUGAACCCACCAGAGAUCCACUCUUCCCCUCAAACACUAUAGUGUUCUGAACCCACCAGAGAUCCACUCUUUCCCUCAAAACACUAUAGUGUUCUGAACCCACCAGAGAACCACUCUUCCCCUAACACACUAUAGUGUUCUGAUCCGCUCUUCCCAUCAAAACACUAUAGUGUCCUGAACCCACCAGAGACCCACUCUUUCCCUAACACACUAUAGUGUUCUGAUCCGCUCUUCCCAUCAAAACACUAUAGUGUCCUGAACCCACCAGAGAUCCACUCUUUCCCUCAAAACACUAUAGUGUUCUGAACCCACCAGAGAUCCACUCUUCCCCUAACACACUAUAGUGUUCUGAUCCGCUCUUCCCCUCAAAACACUAUAGUGUCCUGAACCCACCAGAGAUCCACUCUUUCCCUCAAAACACUAUAGUGUUCUGAACCCACCAGAGAUCCACUCUUCCCCUCACUAGUGUUUUUGUUUAGUGUCCCACAGAUAUUGCGUCCCAAAUGAAACCCUAUCAUUUAAGUAGUGCACUACAUCAGGGCCCUGGUUAAAUGUAGUGCUCUAGAAAGGGAAUAGGGUGCUAUGGGCCCUAGUUAAAAGAAGUGCACUAGAUAGGGAAUAGGGUGCUAUAGGCCCUGGUUAAAAGAAGUGCACUAGAUAGGGAAUAGGGUGCUAUAGGCCCUGUUUAAAAGAAGUGCACUAGAUAGGGAAUAGGGUGCUAUAGACCCUGGUUAAAAUUAGUGCAUUACAUAGGGAAUAGGGUGCCAUUUGGGCCACAUAGACCCACCCCAUGCUCAUUUAAAUGACCACAGACAGAGCGGUCUGUUGACCACAGCACUUUAAUCACCACCAGCCAGGCCAAGCUAAGCGAUCACAGAUCUGCUCCAGGCCAAGCUAAGCGAUCACAGAUCUGCGCCAGGCAAAGCUAAGCGAUCACAGAUCUGCUCCAGGCCAAGCUAAGCAAUCACAGAUCUGCGCCAGGCCAAGCUAAGCGAUCACAGAUCUGCUCCAGGCCAAGCUAAGCGAUCACAGAUCUGCGCCAAGCUAAGCAAUCACAGAUCUGCUGCAGGCCAAGCUAAGCGAUCACAGAUCUGCUCCAGGCCAAGCUAAGCGAUCACAGAUCUGUGCCAGGCCAAGCUAAACGAUCACAGGUCAGCGCCAGGCCAAGCUAAGCCCCGUCCUGAUUCAUACUAUACAAAACAGCUCCCCUCAUCCACAAAUCUGCAAUCCCAAUAAUCUGUCCUUUCUCCUGAAGUGUGCACUUGUGCACUCCUUCACAAAUGUAAAAGCAUUGGAUAGGUGGAGGUAUGGACUAGAGGAUAGGUGGAGGCAUGGUCUGGAGGAUAGGUGGAGGCAUGGUCUGGAGGAUAGGUGGAGGCAUGGUCUGGAGGAUAGGUGGAGGCAUGGUCUGGAGGAUAGGUGGAGGUAUGGACUGGAGGAUAGGUGGAGGUAUGGACUAGAGGAUAGGUGGUAUGGACUAGACUAGAGGAUAGGUGGAGGUAUGGACUAGAUGAUAGGUGGAGGUAUGGACUAGAGGAUAGGUGGAGGUAUGGACUAGAGGAUAGGUGGAGGUAUGGACUAGACUAGAGGAUAGGUGGAGGUAUGGACUAGACUAGAGGAUAGGUGGAGGUAUGGACUAGACUAGAGGAUAGGUGGAGGUAUGGACUAGACUAGAGGAUAGGUGGAGGUAUGGACUAGACUAGAGGAUAGGUGGAGGUAUGGACUAGAGGAUAGGUGGAGGUAUGGACUAGAGGAUAGGUGGAGGCAUGGACUAGAGGAUAGGUGGAGGUAUGGACUAGAGGAUAGGCGGAGGUAUGGACUAGAGGAUAGGUGGAGGCAUGGACUAGAGGAUAGGUGGAGGUAUGGACUAGACUAGAGGAUAGGUGGAGGUAUGGACUAGAGGAUAGGUGGAAGUAUGGACUAGACUAGAGGAUAGGUGGAGGCAUGGACUAGACUAGAGGAUAGGUGGAGGCAUGGACUAGACUAGAGGAUAGGUGGAGGUAUGGACUAGACUAGAGGAUAGGUGGAGGUAUGGACUAGACUAGAGGAUAGGUGGAGGCAUGGACUAGACUAGAGGAUAGGUGGAGGUAUGGACUAGACUAGAGCGAGUUCCACCAUGAAUUUGCUUUUUUACCCAAGAAAGGAAGUGAACAAGUGCACACUGAUAAAAAGGACAGAUUGUUGGGCCCCGUGCUGAACUCCCUCCUUAGGUUUCUAUUGGGAAGGGAAGGGAAGGGAAGGGAUAGGAUAGCGGGAGGAGAGGUGUAUCACCGCAGAGUUGGGGGUCAAAGGUCAUUGCACAAUAUUAUAGACUUGCUGUUCUGUAAAAGCCUAAUAUGCAAUGCAUUGUUUAUUAUUAUUAUUAUUAUUAUUACCAUAAUAAAAUAUGAUAAAAUAUAUUAUUUUCGUAUUUUUCCAUUUGUCUGAUGUCAAUCUCUCCCGCUUUGCCAGGGAGCCACCAUUGUUGGAUGAUGUAUAUUAUAUUAUACAUGUGUAAUAAAUAAGUCAUAUUAAUAAUCAUCGUGUUGAGAAAUGAAUCCCAUGUAGUCUUCUUCAUCAUGUUGGUCUGAUAAUAUUACGUGGAUGACGACACCUAAUAAAACACGUGUUGCUGUUCAGCGUGUUGUGU
Molecule: long non-coding RNA, 2807 nt
Organism: Oncorhynchus tshawytscha (Chinook salmon)
Lineage: Eukaryota; Metazoa; Chordata; Actinopteri; Salmoniformes; Salmonidae
Source: Ensembl